Cercophora sp. LCS_1 is the source of this 90-nucleotide non-coding RNA. The record is from the annotation of a GenBank genome assembly. NCBI's taxonomy places the organism in Eukaryota, Fungi, Ascomycota, Sordariomycetes, Sordariales, Lasiosphaeriaceae.
GCCCAAUUAGCACAAUCGGCUAGUGCGUCAGACUUUUAAAUAAUUACAAAGAUUAUCUGAAGGCUGUGAGUUCGAGUCUCACAUUGGGCG